UAGUCCUACGGGGGGCAGCAGUAGGGAAUCUUCGGCAAUGGGGGCAACCCUGACCGAGCAACGCCGCGUGAGUGAAGAAGGUUUUCGGAUCGUAAAGCUCUGUUGUAAGAGAAGAACGUGUGUGAGAGUGGAAAGUUCACACAGUGACGGUAACUUACCAGAAAGGGACGGCUAACUACGUGCCAGCAGCCGCGGUAAUACGUAGGUCCCGAGCGUUAUCCGGAUUUAUUGGGCGUAAAGCGAGCGCAGGCGGUUGGGUUAGUCUUGAGUUAAAGGCUUGUGCUUAAAC
This 289-nucleotide ribosomal RNA is filed under the name uncultured bacterium. RNAcentral describes it as "partial 16S ribosomal RNA". It matches the Rfam family "Bacterial small subunit ribosomal RNA", at positions 334 to 613 of the family's 1533-position model. The record is from RNAcentral.